This 449-nucleotide ribosomal RNA is filed under the name uncultured bacterium. Its description in RNAcentral is "partial 16S ribosomal RNA". It matches the Rfam family "Bacterial small subunit ribosomal RNA", at positions 29 to 523 of the family's 1533-position model. The record is from RNAcentral.
AACGAACGCUGGCGGCAGGCUUAACACAUGCAAGUCGAACGAAAUCUUCGGAUCUAGUGGCAGACGGGUGAGGAACACGUGGGAACAUCCCUUUCAGUUCGGAAUAACGUUGGGAAACUAACGCUAAUACCGGAUACGUCCUUCGGGAGAAAGAUUUAUCGCUGAAAGAUUGGCCCGCGUCUGAUUAGCUAGUUGGUGAGGUAAUGGCUCACCAAGGCUACGAUCAGUAGCUGAUCCGAGAGGAUGAUCAGCCACAUUGGGACUGAGACACGGCCCAAACUCCUACGGGAGGCAGCAGUGGGGAAUAUUGGACAAUGGGCGCAAGCCUGAUCCAGCCAUGCCGCGUGAGUGAUGACGGCCUUCGGGUUGUAAAGCUCUUUUGUCCGGGAAGAUAAUGACUGUACCGGAAGAAUAAGCCCCGGCAAACUUCGUGCCAGCAGCCGCCGUAA